This 403-nucleotide ribosomal RNA is filed under the name bacterium. RNAcentral's name for it is "partial 16S ribosomal RNA". It matches the Rfam family "Bacterial small subunit ribosomal RNA", at positions 355 to 776 of the family's 1533-position model. The record is from RNAcentral.
UGGGGAAUAUUGCACAAUGGGGGAAACCCUGAUGCAGCGACGCCGCGUGAACGAAGAAGGUAUUCGUAUCGUAAAGUUCUGUCCUAUGGGAAGAUAAUGACAGUACCAUAGAAGAAAGCUCCGGCUAAAUACGUGCCAGCAGCCGCGGUAAUACGUAUGGAGCGAGCGUUGUCCGGAAUUAUUGGGCGUAAAGGGUACGCAGGCGGUUUAAUAAGUCGAAUGUUAAAGACCGGGGCUCAACCCCGCAAAGCAUUGGAAACUGAUAAACUUGAGUAGUGGAGAGGAAAGUGGAAUUCCUAGUGUAGUGGUGAAAUACGUAGAUAUUAGGAGGAAUACCAGUAGCGAAGGCGACUUUCUGGACACAAACUGACGCUGAGGUACGAAAGCGUGGGGAGCAAACAGG